AUGCAGGGAUUUGGGAUACAGGGGCUGGAAUACUGCCAGGGAUGUGGGAUGCAGGAUAAGGUUGGGAUACAGGAGGGGUUGGAAUGCGGGAUGCAGGGUUGGGAUGCAGGCAGGGAUGUGGGAUGCAGGAUCCAGGAGCAGGGAUCCACAGGGAUCCUCAGGGAUCCCCAGGGAUCCCCAGAGACCCCCAGAGAUCCCCAGGGAUCCUCAGGGAUCCACAGGGAGCAGCGCUUUCCCCCUGCUCCCUCUUCCCUCAGCAAUUCCCUUCUCCCUGAGCCCCGGAUCCAGCCUGGAGCAAUCCCAGACUCCCAAAAUCCCUCCCUGGCUGGGAUCCCAACCCUUCCAGGUCUUCCUGGUUUUCCUUCAGCUCCCAGACUCUGGGAAGAUGCCAGGAUUCCUUGGGAAGAGAGGCUGGGAUGCCUGGGGCCUCCUGGGAGAGGAAGAGCCGGAAAUCCACAUCCCUCUCCUUACAAAAAUCCAUGUUUUUAUCCUUUAUUCCCACUUCCAGCGGCUCUCCCUGUCUUCCCAAACCCUUUCCUUCCACCCAUUCCCAAAAUCCCAGGGGAACGCUCCCUGAUUUCCAUCUGGACAAUUCCAUGGAAAAACCUCCCAGAUCCCUCCCAAAAUCCUCUUUUGGGGCUGAAAACUCCGGGAAAAAAUUUUCCCUGGGGAUGGGAAACAACCGGAAUUCCGGCCCAGGAACACCAAGGGAAAAGUCUUGGAUUGGGUCAUCCCACGGCGAUGGAUUUGGGAAUUUUUGACUGCCGAUGUUCCCGUUUUUCACGGAAAAUUCCUCAUGAGGGGGAAAAUGGAGGAGCUGGUGUUGGACACGGGGAUUUGGGGGGAUUUUAUCCCAAAUUUCUGGGAAUUGAGGCAUGGGUGACUCCAAAACUUUGUCCCGGUGUUUUUUCCCGAACAAAAGAGGAUCCUGGGGGGAAUUUGGGUGUUCCUGAUGGGAAUCAGGCUCUCCCUGCAAAACCCCAACCGACUAAAUCCGGGAAUCUCUGCAAUUCCUGGAUUUUCCCUCCCUUCCCUCCCCGCCUCCAAUCCUUUGGGAAAAGCCCCGGUUCCAGAGAUUCUUGGAAUCAAAUCCCAAUUUAUUCAGGGCUGGGUUUGUUCCAAAUCCAUCGCCACGGGAUGAUCCAAUCCAGGACUUUUCCCUUCGGCUGCCGGACCCCAAAGUUUUGCUCUUCCCAUCAAUUUUUCCAUGGAAAAACGCAACAUUCCCAACAUUCCGCUUUUCCAGCAUUCCCACAUUCCUUAGCCACGGAUUGGAGCAUCCCUUUGGAUGGGAGUCACCCCUGGAUGAGGCGGGUGAUGAUUUUUGGGAAGCUGGGAAUCGUUUCCCGAAGAUUCAACAGCUCUGAUGCUUCCUUGGAAAAGAAAACUAAACCAGGAUUCUUAAAAUUCCCCCAUUUCCAGCCCUUUCCCAAUGGGAAUUUUAACCCCUCUCGCCCCGGAGGGAGAAGGAAAAUCGGGAAUAACCCGGAAUGUUGGGAGCGGGAUUUGUUUUCCAAAGGCAAAGCUUCCUUGGCAGCCUCCGGAUUCCGCGGGGAAAUCCCGGGAGCGGCUCCCGGCCCGUCAGGUGGCUCCCAGGACAUGGGAGCAGACAGGGAAGCGCCGGGAAUCGCGGGAUGCGAAUCCCGCCGUGUCCGGAUCGCUCCGAUUUCUCCCGGCUUUUAA
Molecule: long non-coding RNA, 1683 nt
Filed under: Parus major (Great Tit)
Lineage: Eukaryota; Metazoa; Chordata; Aves; Passeriformes; Paridae
Description: lncRNA (ENSPMJG00000009875.1)
Source: RNAcentral